RNAcentral lists this ribosomal RNA (1372 nucleotides) under uncultured bacterium. RNAcentral's name for it is "bacterial SSU rRNA". It matches the Rfam family "Bacterial small subunit ribosomal RNA", at positions 28 to 1381 of the family's 1533-position model. The record is from RNAcentral.
GAUAAACGCUGGCGGCGUGCCUAAUACAUGCAAGUCGAGCGAACGGACGAGAAGCUUGCUUCUCUGAUGUUAGCGGCGGACGGGUGAGUAACACGUGGAUAACCUACCUAUAAGACUGGGAUAACUUCGGGAAACCGGAGCUAAUACCGGAUAAUAUUUUGAACCGCAUGGUUCAAAAGUGAAAGACGGUCUUGCUGUCACUUAUAGAUGGAUCCGCGCUGCAUUAGCUAGUUGGUAAGGUAACGGCUUACCAAGGCAACGAUGCAUAGCCGACCUGAGAGGGUGAUCGGCCACACUGGAACUGAGACACGGUCCAGACUCCUACGGGAGGCAGCAGUAGGGAAUCUUCCGCAAUGGGCGAAAGCCUGACGGAGCAACGCCGCGUGAGUGAUGAAGGUCUUCGGAUCGUAAAACUCUGUUAUUAGGGAAGAACAUAUGUGUAAGUAACUGUGCACAUCUUGACGGUACCUAAUCAGAAAGCCACGGCUAACUACGUGCCAGCAGCCGCGGUAAUACGUAGGUGGCAAGCGUUAUCCGGAAUUAUUGGGCGUAAAGCGCGCGUAGGCGGUUUUUUAAGUCUGAUGUGAAAGCCCACGGCUCAACCGUGGAGGGUCAUUGGAAACUGGAUAACUUGAGUGCAGAAGAGGAAAGUGGAAUUCCAUGUGUAGCGGUGAAAUGCGCAGAGAUAUGGAGGAACACCAGUGGCGAAGGCGACUUUCUGGUCUGUAACUGACGCUGAUGUGCGAAAGCGUGGGGAUCAAACAGGAUUAGAUACCCUGGUAGUCCACGCCGUAAACGAUGAGUGCUAAGUGUUAGGGGGUUUCCGCCCCUUAGUGCUGCAGCUAACGCAUUAAGCACUCCGCCUGGGGAGUACGACCGCAAGGUUGAAACUCAAAGGAAUUGACGGGGACCCGCACAAGCGGUGGAGCAUGUGGUUUAAUUCGAAGCAACGCGAAGAACCUUACCAAAUCUUGACAUCCUUUGACAACUCUAGAGAUAGAGCCUUCCCCUUCGGGGGACAAAGUGACAGGUGGUGCAUGGUUGUCGUCAGCUCGUGUCGUGAGAUGUUGGGUUAAGUCCCGCAACGAGCGCAACCCUUAAGCUUAGUUGCCAUCAUUAAGUUGGGCACUCUAAGUUGACUGCCGGUGACAAACCGGAGGAAGGUGGGGAUGACGUCAAAUCAUCAUGCCCCUUAUGAUUUGGGCUACACACGUGCUACAAUGGACAAUACAAAGGGCAGCGAAACCGCGAGGUCAAGCAAAUCCCAUAAAGUUGUUCUCAGUUCGGAUUGUAGUCUGCAACUCGACUACAUGAAGCUGGAAUCGCUAGUAAUCGUAGAUCAGCAUGCUACGGUGAAUACGUUCCCGGGUCU